GCAGCAGGCGCGCAAAUUACCCACUCCCGGCACGGGGAGGUAGUGACGAAAAAUAACGAUACGGGACUCAUCCGAGGCCCCGUAAUCGGAAUGAGUAUACUCUAAAUCCUUAUACGAGUAUCAAUUGGAGGGCAAGUCUGGUGCCAGCAGCCGCGGUAAUUCCAGCUCCAAUAGCGUAUAUUAAAGUUGUUGCGGUUAAAAAGCUCGUAGUUGGAUCUGUGUCCCGCGCCGUCGGUUCACCGCCUGUCGGUGUUCAACUGGCGUGUAUGCGGGACGUCCUGCCGGUGGCGGUCCGGUUCCCCGGCGGUACGUAGGGGUCGUCCUUGCCUUGCUUGCGUCGUCCCCGAAGGCCGCCGCGGUGUUUCCGGCCGCCUUUUCGAUCCCGUCGCGGUGCUCUUUACCGAGUGUCGAGGCGGGCCGGCACGUUUACUUUGAACAAAUUAGAGUGCUUUAAGCAGGCCCUGUCCCGCCUGUAUGUUGUGUGCAUGGAAUAAUGGAAUAGGACCUCGGUUCUAUUUUGUUGGUUUUCGGAAUCUGAGGUAAUGAUCAAUGGGGACAGGCGGGGGCAUUCGUAUUGCGACGUUAGAGGUGAAAUUCUUGGAUCGUCGCAAGACGGACCGAAGCGAAAGCAUUUGCCAAGUAUGUUCUCGUCGAUCAAGAACGAAAGUUAGAGGUUCGAAGGCGAUCAGAUACCGCCCUAGUUCUAACCAUAAACUAUGCCUGCCAGCGAUCCGCCGAAGUUCCUCCGAUGACUCGGCGGGCAGCUUCCGGGAAACCAGAGCUUUUGGGUUCCGGGGGAAGUAUGGUUGCAAAGCUGAAACUUAAAGGAAUUGACGGAAGGGCACCACCAGGAGUGGAGCCUGCGGCUUAAUUUGACUCAACACGGGAAAACUCACCAGGCCCGGACACCGGAAGGAUUGACAGAUUGAGAGCUCUUUCUUGAUUCGGUGGGUGGUGGUGCAUGGCCGNUCUUAGUKGGUGGAGCGAUUUGUCUGGUUAAUUCCGAUAACGAACGAGACUCUAGCCUACUAACUAGGCGUACCCGGUAUCCACAAUCGUGCUACCGGCGAUCAAAUUUCUUCUUAGAGGGACAGGCGGCUUCUAGCCGCACGAGACUGAGCAAUAACAGGUCUGUGAUGCCCUUAGAUGUCCUGGGCCGCACGCGCGCUACACUGAAGGAAUCAGCGUGUCUUCCCUGUCCGAAAGGACCGGGUAACCCGCUGAACCUCCUUUGUGCUAGGGAUUGGGGCUUGCAAUUGUUCCCCAUGAACGAGGAAUUCCCAGUAAGCGCGAGUCAUAAGCUCGCGUUGAUUACGUCCCUGCCCUUUGUACACACCGCCCGUCGCUACUACCGAUUGAAUGAUUUAGUGAGGUCUUCGGACUGGUGCGCGGAGGCCGCUCCCGCGGUCUCCGAUGUUGCUGGAAAGAUGACCAAACUUGAUCAUUUAGAGGAAGUAAAAGUCGUAACAAGGUUUCCGUAGGUGAAC
RNAcentral lists this ribosomal RNA (1487 nucleotides) under Agalmatium flavescens. Its description in RNAcentral is "SSU rRNA". Lineage: Eukaryota; Metazoa; Arthropoda; Insecta; Hemiptera; Issidae. The record is from RNAcentral.